CCGCGCGCCGCGCCCGCACCCAACGCAACACGAUCCCCUCGCCCCGCACGCCGUGGACACUUCGGUCCCCUCAUCCCGCACGAACCCUAGGAGAGAGAGAUAGGAAGAUGAGAGGGAGAGAAAGGGGAGAGGAGAGGAGAGGGAGGUCCGGCAGCGGACGGGAGAGGGUGACCGGCCGGCGUCGGCCUACACCGGCGAGGCGUCGGCCUGCGCCCCUCCUCGCGCACGAACCCUAGCUGAGAGACAAAAUGAGGGGGAGAGAGAGAAGGAGGGAGAAAGAGAGAGGAAAGAGGAAAGGGAGGUGCGGCAGCUGAAAUGAGAGAGGGUCAUCGGCCGGUGCCACAAAGGACGGGCCCAACCUGGACGCGACUUGGAGGUUGGCGGCGGCUCGAUCCACUCCUGGAUCGGGAGCUGCGACGAGGCUGGGGCUCGGGCGCGUUGUACGGGAGGCUGCACUCCGCCUCUUCCUCAUGGUGCGGCGGACGACGGCUCUUGCGGUCGUGCGGCUGAAGGCGGCCUUGGUUUGCUGCUUCGUUAGCUCUUCUUCUUCACUUCCUUAAUUCCCAGGACAACCAUUUUGUUGCUUCCUGUACAAAUAGAGUGUGUUAGACUUUCUCUUUGUUUGUCUCAUCCCCUUCUUAAGUGACUGGUUCCUGCACGGUUAUUGGCUUCUCCAAUGGAUCAUGUAGGUAGAAACUAAAAAGAACUGGAUAAUUUCUUUUUCCCUUCUUUUAAUUUCAAUAGGAUUCCCGAGUUCAGAAUUGACAAUUCAUAUCAGUAUUCGGUACAGAGCAGAUCAAUUGAUUUUCAUAAAAACGCAUAUUAGAAUUAUCAUUGGAUUGGUUUUCAAGUGCCUUUAUUAGACAUAUAGUGCAGAGGGAGUAAAUUAGUUUCACAGAAUGUUUCCUUGGAUUUUAGUUGCACUUCAUUCUGUUGUUUCGGUCUUUGUACAUUCAGAUGCUUUUUAAUUCAAAAGGAAACAACUCACAGAGGUUAUGUACGGGAGGCUACACUCUGCCUCUUCCUCGUGGUGCGGCGGAUGGCGGCUCUUGCGGUCGUGUGCUGACGACGGCCUCAGCGGGUGGGCGGCCAGUGGCGGUGCCAGGGGUUAGCUGUGUAGGCAACUGACUACACAACAUUUUGGCAUGCAUUAGUAGACAUCAAGCAAAAACCAGUUUUCACACAAGCAUAAGUAUUUGACAUCACAACUUUAAAUUGACAUCACAACGUUGAACUCUUGGCUUCGCCACUGUGGGCGACUACACUUGCAGCUGGCGCUCUACCCAUGGAUUCCGGCAUUAGCUCGAAACGCUCAGGACAAAUUAGGUCUCGGCCAAUGGUGGAGAAGACGGAGUACAGGGAUGAGCCGCUCGAGCACUGUUUGAUGGGAUGUUCGCGCGCAAGAUGCAGAAGUUCGCCAGAAGGAAGAAGAGCUGGGCGUCGAGGAGGAGAAGAAGGUGGUAUGCGAGGUGCUUGCAGGCCCAGCAGCAGGAGGCCGUCCUUGAGGUGCUCCUGUGGAUGGUCCAUUCCGGCGCUGGGCCUACGUGUUCAAUGCUGCCCUCACCAUCCCCUUCUUCCAUUGGCUCAUCGGCCCGUCAGAGUUCAGAGAUCUAAUACUCCGCACUGCCUCCCGUCCAUUUUCAUAUAUAUAUAUAUAUAUAUAUAUAUAUAUAUAUAGGUUUAUCAUCACCCCAUAGAUCAUGUGUUGUUGAUUGACCAGGUUAUUGAGGUGGAGGUCAACGGGGUGAGGCAGAGAAGUGGAGUGCUCAUAAAGAAACGAAGGAGCAACUGUUGCUAUUGGGACUGGUGCUUGUGCAGUUGUUGCAGCUGUUCUUGAGGGCCGAGCUGAACAUAUUUGAAAAAGGAUAUUCUGACACCUAAUAAGGAUCAAGAAAACAACAGAGAUGCUAAGAGGCAACCUUUUGGGGUUAAGGAUAUAAACAACAACAGGGCUUAUGAGACCGAAGAGAGCUCAAGUGGUGUCUUUUGAUUCUUGAAGGCCUGCACUUUCCUGGUGGAGUAGCAACAAAAUAAUUCAGAGGCUUUAAAGCUAAUGCACUUCACGUAGUUAGGAUCAAUUCUUUGUUUCGGUUUGAAAUACUCCCCAGUUCCUCCUAUUUGAUUGAUUCAUCUGAUGGACAUUUUGUCAGGCAAAUAUUAGGCAAAGGAUAUGUACCUUUUUUUAAUAUAGAAGGGUCUAAUUCUUAUCGUGCGUACUUGCUCAAAUAAAAGAUUAUUGAAAAUAUGUAUAUUUUCAACCCGAUGUGGUUUUGAAUUA
Triticum urartu is the source of this 2278-nucleotide non-coding RNA. The record is from RefSeq and is a predicted model, not a curated record. NCBI's taxonomy places the organism in Eukaryota, Viridiplantae, Streptophyta, Magnoliopsida, Poales, Poaceae.